RNAcentral lists this ribosomal RNA (111 nucleotides) under Spirochaetaceae bacterium. Lineage: Bacteria; Pseudomonadati; Spirochaetota; Spirochaetia; Spirochaetales; Spirochaetaceae. The record is from RNAcentral.
UCUGGUGAUCAUAGCAGAGUGGACACACCCGUUCCCAUCUCGAACACGGAAGUUAAGCACUCUUACGUCGAUGGUACUACAAUUAUGUGGGAGAGUAGAUAGUUGCCAGAU